AAUGCCCUGCUAUGCUCGUGAUGCUGAUCCAGGUUUUGCCCAACCUUUGGACGUUGGGGCAUCACCUCCGGAGGCUUGUUGCAAGCUGCUGCGGGAGCAGUAGCACGAAAGCCGAAGGGGCGCCCCCAGUGAUUUUGAGAGCAAAAAACUCGGAGGGCACACGGCACAGCGGGGCUUUU
Molecule: non-coding RNA, 179 nt
Filed under: Chloroflexota bacterium
Lineage: Bacteria; Bacillati; Chloroflexota
Description: 6S RNA
Rfam family: 6S / SsrS RNA
About the family: E. coli 6S RNA was the first non coding RNA to be sequenced, but its function was unknown until recently.
Source: RNAcentral